This 486-nucleotide ribosomal RNA is filed under the name uncultured bacterium. Its description in RNAcentral is "partial 16S ribosomal RNA". It matches the Rfam family "Bacterial small subunit ribosomal RNA", at positions 30 to 507 of the family's 1533-position model. The record is from RNAcentral.
AUUGAACGCUGGCGGCAUGCCUUACACAUGCAAGUCGAACGGCAGCACGGGUGCUUGCACCUGGUGGCGAGUGGCGAACGGGUGAGUAAUACAUCGGAACAUGUCCUGUAGUGGGGGAUAGCCCGGCGAAAGCCGGAUUAAUACCGCAUACGAUCUACGUAUGAAAGCGGGGGACCUUCUGGCCUCGCGCUAUAGGGUUGGCCGAUGGCUGAUUAGCUAGUUGGUGGGGUAAAGGCCUACCAAGGCGACGAUCAGUAGCUGGUCUGAGAGGACGACCAGCCACACUGGAACUGAGACACGGCCCAGACUCCUACGGGAGGCAGCAGUGGGGAAUUUUGGACAAUGGGCGAAAGCCUGAUCCAGCAAUGCCGCGUGUGUGAAGAAGGCCUUCGGGUUGUAAAGCACUUUUGUCCGGAAAGAAAUCCUUGGCCCUAAUACGGUCGGGGGAUGACGGUACCGGAAGAAUAAGCACCGGCUAACUACGUG